GGAGUCAGCCGGACAGCCGCUGUGUCGAAUGAUGCAGAGGAAAGUCCGGGCUCCGACGGGCUGGGUGCCAGGUAACGCCUGGGGGGCGCAAGCCUACGGAAAGUGCCACAGAAAACAUACCGCCAUCGGCUCAGGCUGUUGGUAAGGGUGAAAUGGUGCGGUAAGAGCGCACCGCAACGCUGGUAACAGCGCUGGCAGGGUAAACCCCACCCGGAGCAAGACCAAAUAGAGGGACGGAUGUGCCAUGGUGCAUAUCGAGUGCGGCCCGCACUGUCCCUGGGUAGGUUGCUUGAGGUGUGUGGUGACGCACAUCCCAGAUGAAUGGCUGUCCUCGACAGAACCCGGCUUACAGGCUGGCUCCCAAC
Molecule: RNase P RNA, 365 nt
Filed under: Candidatus Thiodiazotropha endolucinida
Lineage: Bacteria; Pseudomonadati; Pseudomonadota; Gammaproteobacteria; Chromatiales; Sedimenticolaceae
Also listed under: 3 other names
Description: RNase P RNA component class A
Rfam family: Bacterial RNase P class A
About the family: Ribonuclease P (RNase P) is a ubiquitous endoribonuclease, found in archaea, bacteria and eukarya as well as chloroplasts and mitochondria. Its best characterised activity is the generation of mature 5'-ends of tRNAs by cleaving the 5'-leader elements of precursor-tRNAs. Cellular RNase Ps are ribonucleoproteins.
Source: RNAcentral